RNAcentral lists this transfer RNA (154 nucleotides) under Dioryctria pentictonella. RNAcentral's name for it is "tRNA-Leu". The record is from RNAcentral. Lineage: Eukaryota; Metazoa; Arthropoda; Insecta; Lepidoptera; Pyralidae.
UAAUAUGGCAGAUUAUAUGUAAUGGAUUUAAACCCCAUUUAUAAAGGAUUAUCCUUUUUUUAGAAAUUGCAACAUGAUCUAAUUUUAACUUUCAAAAUAGAACAUCCCCUUUAAUAGAACAAAUUAUUUUUUUCCAUGAUCAUACAUUAAUUAU